UACGGGAGGCAGCAGUGGGGAAUAUUGGACAAUGGGCGAAAGCCUGACCCAGCCAUGCCGCGUGUGUGAAGAAGGUCUUCGGAUUGUAAAGCACUUUAAGUUGGGAGGAAGGGCAGUAAGCUAAUACCUUGCUGUUUUGACGUUACCGACAGAAUAAGCACCGGCUAACUCUGUGCCAGCAGCCGCGGUAAU
Molecule: ribosomal RNA, 192 nt
Filed under: uncultured bacterium
Lineage: Bacteria
Description: partial 16S ribosomal RNA
Rfam family: Bacterial small subunit ribosomal RNA
Source: RNAcentral